RNAcentral lists this ribosomal RNA (1014 nucleotides) under bacterium LRH843. Its description in RNAcentral is "partial 23S ribosomal RNA". It matches the Rfam family "Bacterial large subunit ribosomal RNA", at positions 1914 to 2925 of the family's 2925-position model. The record is from RNAcentral.
GAAGCCCCAGUAAACGGCGGCCGUAACUAUAACGGUCCUAAGGUAGCGAAAUUCCUUGUCGGGUAAGUUCCGACCCGCACGAAUGGUGUAACGAUUUGGAUACUGUCUCAACGAGAGACCCGGUGAAAUUAUAGUACCUGUGAAGAUGCAGGUUACCCGCGACAGGACGGAAAGACCCCAUGGAGCUUUACUGUAGCUUGAUAUUGGAUGUUGGUACAGCUUGUACAGGAUAGGUAGGAGCCUUGGAAGCCGGAGCGCUAGCUUCGGUGGAGGCGUCGGUGGGAUACUACCCUGGCUGUGCUGACAUUCUAACCUCGAACCGUGAUCCGGUUCAGGGACAGUGUCAGGUGGGCAGUUUGACUGGGGCGGUCGCCUCCUAAACAGUAACGGAGGCGCCCAAAGGUUCCCUCAGAAUGGUUGGAAAUCAUUCGUAGAGUGCAAAGGCAUAAGGGAGCUUGACUGCGAGACCUACAAGUCGAGCAGGGACGAAAGUCGGGCUUAGUGAUCCGGUGGUUCCGCAUGGAAGGGCCAUCGCUCAACGGAUAAAAGCUACCCUGGGGAUAACAGGCUUAUCUCCCCCAAGAGUCCACAUCGACGGGGAGGUUUGGCACCUCGAUGUCGGCUCAUCGCAUCCUGGGGCUGAAGUAGGUCCCAAGGGUUGGGCUGUUCGCCCAUUAAAGCGGUACGCGAGCUGGGUUCAGAACGUCGUGAGACAGUUCGGUCCCUAUCCGUCGCGGGCGCAGGAAAUUUGAGAGGAGCUGUCCUUAGUACGAGAGGACCGGGAUGGACACACCGCUGGUGUACCAGUUGUUCCGCCAGGAGCAUAGCUGGGUAGCUACGUGUGGAAGGGAUAAGUGCUGAAAGCAUCUAAGCAUGAAGCCCCCCUCAAGAUGAGAUUUCCCAUGGAGUUAAUCCAGUAAGACCCCUCAGAGAUGAUGAGGUUGAUAGGUCUGGUGUGGAAGCGUGGCGACACGUGAAGCUGACAGAUACUAAUCGGUCGAGGACUUAUCCAAU